RNAcentral lists this ribosomal RNA (238 nucleotides) under uncultured bacterium. Its description in RNAcentral is "partial 16S ribosomal RNA". It matches the Rfam family "Bacterial small subunit ribosomal RNA", at positions 95 to 334 of the family's 1533-position model. The record is from RNAcentral.
CCGGCAAACGGGUGCGGAACACGUACGCAACCUACCCAUAACUGAGGAAUAGCCGGGGAAACCCGGAUUAAUACUUCGUAACAUAAUGAAACGGCAUCGUUUUAUUAUUAUAGCUCCGGCGGUUAUGGAUGGGCGUGCGCCUGAUUAGGUAGUUGGCGGAGUAAUAGCCCACCAAGCCUACGAUCAGUAACUGGUGUGAGAGCACGACCAGUCACACGGGCACUGAGACACGGGCCCG